This 135-nucleotide ribosomal RNA is filed under the name Neogale vison (American mink). Lineage: Eukaryota; Metazoa; Chordata; Mammalia; Carnivora; Mustelidae. The record is from RNAcentral.
GUCUACGGCCAUACCACCCUGAAUGUGCCCGAUCUUGUCUGAUCUUGGAAGCUAAGCAGGGUCAGGCCUGGUUAGUACUUGGAUGGGAGAAGCCUCUGCCUUCAGCUCAGGUCAUGAUCCCAGGGUCCUGGGAUC